AGCUUCGUGGUGUAUGCGAGAAAACAUUGGAGUUUAGAAAUAUCCGCUGUUGCGGUUUUACAGUACCGCUGCACCGGAUCCCAAAACGACACAGGAAGUAUAGGGGCAAUGCAAUCUCCAUGUGCAAUUCGUGGCGGACCUU
RNAcentral lists this transfer RNA (142 nucleotides) under Pyrenophora tritici-repentis. RNAcentral describes it as "tRNA-Ser". The record is from RNAcentral. Lineage: Eukaryota; Fungi; Ascomycota; Dothideomycetes; Pleosporales; Pleosporaceae.